This 720-nucleotide ribosomal RNA is filed under the name uncultured Planctomycetota bacterium. RNAcentral's name for it is "bacterial SSU rRNA". It matches the Rfam family "Bacterial small subunit ribosomal RNA", at positions 565 to 1274 of the family's 1533-position model. Lineage: Bacteria; Pseudomonadati; Planctomycetota. The record is from RNAcentral.
GAGCACGUAGGUGGGUUUGUAAGUCAGACGUGAAAGCCUUCUGUUCAACGGAAGAAUUGCAUCUGAAACUACAAACCUUGAGUGUAGGAGGGGAGAAUGGAACUUCUGGUGGAGCGGUGAAAUGCGUAGAUAUCAGAGGGAACGCCGGCGGCGAAAGCGAUUCUCUGGCCUAUUACUGACACUCAGUGUGCGGAAGCUAGGGGAGCAAACGGGAUUAGAUACCCCGGUAGUCCUAGCCGUAAACGAUGGGCACUAAGUAGAGGGAAUUACCGAUGUUCUCUCUGCCGUAGCUAACGCAUUAAGUGCCCCGCCUGGGGAGUACGGCCGCAAGGCUAAAACUCAAAAGAAUUGACGGGGGCUCGCACAAGCGGUGGAGCAUGUGGCUUAAUUCGAUGCAACGCGAAAAACCUUACCGGGGCUUGACAUGGUAGAAGUAGGAACCCGAAAGGGUAACGAACGGUAUCCAGUCCGUGACUAUCACAGGUGUUGCAUGGCUGUCGUCAGCUCGUGUCGUGAGACGUUGGGUUAAGUCCCCUAACGAGCGGAACCCUUGUUUUUAGUUGCCAGCGGGUUGUGCCGGGCACUCUAGAAAGACUGCCGUCGUCAAGACGGAGGAAGGUGGGGAUGACGUCAAGUCAUCAUGGCCCUUAUGCCCCGGGCUGCACACGUGCUACAAUGGCCGGUACAAACGGAAGCGAAGCCGAGAGGUGAAGCGAAUCC